RNAcentral lists this ribosomal RNA (443 nucleotides) under uncultured bacterium. RNAcentral's name for it is "partial 16S ribosomal RNA". It matches the Rfam family "Bacterial small subunit ribosomal RNA", at positions 338 to 795 of the family's 1533-position model. The record is from RNAcentral.
CCUACGGGCGGCAACAGUGGGGAAUAUUGGGCAAUGGGCGCAAGCCUGACCCAGCAACGCCGCGUGAAGGAAGAAGGCUUUCGGGUUGUAAACUUCCUUUCUCAGGGACGAAGCAAGUGACGGUACCUGAGGAAUAAGCCACGGCUAACUAUGUGCCAGCAGCCGCGGUAAUACGUAGGUGGCAAGCGUUAUCCGGAUUUACUGGGUGUAAAGGGCGUGUAGGCGGGACUGCAAGUCAGAUGUGAAAACCACGGGCUCAACCUGUGGCCUGCAUUUGAAACUGUAGUUCUUGAGUACUGGGGAGGCAGACGGAAUUCCUAGUGUAGCGGUGAAAUGCGUAGAUAUUAGGAAGAACCCCAGUUGCGAAGGCAGUCUGCUGGACAGCAACUGACGCUGAGGCGCGAAAGCGUGGGGAGCAAACAGGAUUAGAUACCCGUGUAGUC